Zalophus californianus (California sea lion) is the source of this 904-nucleotide long non-coding RNA. RefSeq lists it as uncharacterized. Lineage: Eukaryota; Metazoa; Chordata; Mammalia; Carnivora; Otariidae. The transcript is spliced from 3 exons. The record is from RefSeq and is a predicted model, not a curated record.
GGGCAGACGGAAUCCAGUGUGAUACCUGCGAUCACGGGCAGCGAUCACGGGCAGCGAGAUGCGCGUUUUCUCAAGUUUUUAAGGAUUCCUCUUCCUAGGCAUGCAUUAAGGAUUUUGACAUUUUACAGUGAAAGUGGCUUUCUGGAAGCCUGCAAUUCUCGUUGCUUUGCCUCUCAAGAUCAUCUCUUUCACUUCCCGGGCAUUGUCACGUGAACUAAAGCACGGAUUUACGUGAGGGAAGAGAAGAGGCAUCGGGGGCCUGCCUCCUGCCCGGCAUCAUGGGGACCCCACGGUGGCAGCUGGUGGGCAGGCUGAUCCCCCAGCUCAUCCUCGGACCUCUCUCAUCUCGCUCAUUUCCUCCGACGCCCCAGGUGGACUUCGAAGAAAAAAGCAGAGAGGAGCAAAAAGAAUAUCAAUUAUUCCAAUAAUGGUCAUGAGCCAUGGAAAUCCGAUUGCCUUUGCGAUAGCCCCACCAGCAGAAGGACCUUUCAGGAAACAGAGAAUUAGACUGACCUCUCUCCAGAUGUCUCACAGAUAGGAAGACUCGUCCCCUUUGCCGGUGAGAAGUCCCGCAGCAUGGUGGUGAUCGAUAUCUCUGUUCACCUUUUCUGUACCACACCUCACCCCACCCCCCUGCCCGCCCUGGUUCAUAGGAGCAGCUCAGUGCACAGACCUGAGCCCAAACAAACAGGCUCUGAGCAAGGGAUUCUCUUGUUUGCCCGAGGGCAGCAACGGAGUAUCCGUUUGCUUCUGUAAAUAUCAGGCUUUUAAAAAUACUGGUUUUCUGGAAAUAAAGGACUAGUACGCAGAAGCAGGUAUCUAUCUAUAGAUAGUGGUCAGGCUGUACUUGAACGUGGCUGCCCACAGCCUCCUCUCAAGCUUCCGGAAAUUUUAGGUUGAGGAA